Molecule: unclassified non-coding RNA, 336 nt
Filed under: soil metagenome
Description: partial contains 5.8S ribosomal RNA, internal transcribed spacer 2, and large subunit ribosomal RNA
Rfam family: 5.8S ribosomal RNA (bases 1-120)
Source: RNAcentral
GAUGAAGAACGCAGCGAAAUGCGAUAAAUAAUGUGAAUUGCAGAAUUCAGUGAAUCAUCGAGUCUUUGAACGCACAUUGCGCCCCUUGGUAUUCCAUGGGGCAUGCCUGUUCGAGCGUCAUUUGUACCUUCAAGCUUUGCUUGGUGUUGGGUGUUUGUCUCGCCUUUGCGUGUAGACUCGCCUUAAAAUAAUUGGCAGCCGGCGUAUUGAUUUCGGAGCGCAGUACAUCUCGCGCUUUGCACUCAUAACGACAGCGUCCAAAAGUACAUUUUACACUCUUGACCUCGGAUCAGGUAGGGAUACCCGCUGAACUUAAGCAUAUCAAUAAGCGGAGGA